RNAcentral lists this ribosomal RNA (374 nucleotides) under uncultured Actinobacteridae bacterium. RNAcentral describes it as "bacterial SSU rRNA". It matches the Rfam family "Bacterial small subunit ribosomal RNA", at positions 114 to 507 of the family's 1533-position model. The record is from RNAcentral. Lineage: Bacteria; Bacillati; Actinomycetota; Actinomycetes.
CACGUGAGCAACCUACCCUUGACACUGGGAUAACAGCUGGAAACAGCUGCUAAUACCGGAUAUGAACUCAGCAGGCAUCUGCCGAGUUGGAAAGCUCCGACGGUCAAGGAUGGGCUCGCGGCCUAUCAGCUUGUUGGUGAGGUAACGGCUCACCAAGGCGACGACGGGUAGCCGGCCUGAGAGGGCGACCGGCCACACUGGGACUGAGAUACGGCCCAGACUCCUACGGGAGGCAGCAGUGGGGAAUAUUGCGCAAUGGGCGAAAGCCUGACGCAGCAACGCCGCGUGCGGGAAGACGGCCUUCGGGUUGUAAACCGCUUUCAGCAGGGACGAAUCUGACGGUACCUGCAGAAGAAGCACCGGCUAACUACGUG